This 737-nucleotide ribosomal RNA is filed under the name Prevotella sp. HGA0215. RNAcentral describes it as "bacterial SSU rRNA". It matches the Rfam family "Bacterial small subunit ribosomal RNA", at positions 87 to 822 of the family's 1533-position model. The record is from RNAcentral. Lineage: Bacteria; Pseudomonadati; Bacteroidota; Bacteroidia; Bacteroidales; Prevotellaceae. RNAcentral also lists the same sequence under 1 other name.
GGCGUCGACCGGCGCACGGGUGAGUAACGCGUAUCCAACCUGCCUCUGACUGAGGGAUAACCCGUCGAAAGUCGGCCUAAUACCUCAUGGCAUCGUCUGCGGGCAUCCAACGACGAUUAAAGAUUUCAUCGGUCAGGGAUGGGGAUGCGUCUGAUUAGCUUGUUGGCGGGGUAACGGCCCACCAAGGCUACGAUCAGUAGGGGUUCUGAGAGGAAGGUCCCCCACAUUGGAACUGAGACACGGUCCAAACUCCUACGGGAGGCAGCAGUGAGGAAUAUUGGUCAAUGGGCGGGAGCCUGAACCAGCCAAGUAGCGUGCAGGAUGACGGCCCUAUGGGUUGUAAACUGCUUUUAUGCGGGGAUAAAGUGAGGGACGUGUCCUUCAUUGCAGGUACCGCAUGAAUAAGGACCGGCUAAUUCCGUGCCAGCAGCCGCGGUAAUACGGAAGGUCCGGGCGUUAUCCGGAUUUAUUGGGUUUAAAGGGAGCGUAGGCCGUGGAUUAAGCGUGUUGUGAAAUGCAGGUGCUCAACGUCUGCACUGCAGCGCGAACUGGUCCACUUGAGUGUGCGCAACGCAGGCGGAAUUCGUCGUGUAGCGGUGAAAUGCUUAGAUAUGACGAAGAACUCCGAUUGCGAAGGCAGCUUGCGGGAGCACAACUGACGCUGAAGCUCGAAAGUGCGGGUAUCGAACAGGAUUAGAUACCCUGGUAGUCCGCACGGUAACGAUGGAUGCCCGUUG